This 209-nucleotide unclassified non-coding RNA is filed under the name uncultured fungus. RNAcentral describes it as "sequence contains 18S rRNA gene, ITS1, 5.8S rRNA gene, ITS2". Lineage: Eukaryota; Fungi. The record is from RNAcentral.
ACUCAGACAUCACUAACAAAAGAAUUUAGGGCCUCUGGCGGGCACUGUCAGCCGAGGCCAACGCCAAGUGGCGGCCCGCCAAAGCAACAAAGGUACGGUAUUCAAGGGUGGGAGAUCUACCCGCGAGGGCAUGAACUCUGUAAUGAUCCUUCCGCAGGUUCACCUACGGAAACCUUGUUACGACUUUUACUUCCUCUAAAUGACCAAGA